AUCCUAGACCUUGGUAGUCUGCGGGUUAACAGUGAGCUGCAGAAGGACACAACAGCCCUGGAAGAUGCAACUCCUACAGAGAUAGAAGCAAGACUCUAUGACAAGUUUGUCAUCAGAAUCACAGAUAUACAAGUCCUACUUGUUGAGCCAGGUGCAGACUGGAGGGAAGCCCUUCAGGCCAGAGAGUCUAGACAUCAUAUCUUACCAGGUUUAUGCCUUCAGAUCAACACUUUCAUUAGUGCUAAGCCAGACUACCAACAGCUU
Molecule: long non-coding RNA, 264 nt
Organism: Lytechinus variegatus (green sea urchin)
Lineage: Eukaryota; Metazoa; Echinodermata; Echinoidea; Temnopleuroida; Toxopneustidae
Exons: 3
Source: RefSeq, a predicted model, not a curated record